Molecule: ribosomal RNA, 539 nt
Filed under: uncultured bacterium
Lineage: Bacteria
Description: bacterial SSU rRNA
Rfam family: Bacterial small subunit ribosomal RNA
Source: RNAcentral
GAGGAAUAUUGGUCAAUGGGCGGAAGCCUGAACCAGCCAAGUAGCGUGCAGGAUGACGGCCCUACGGGUUGUAAACUGCUUUUAUGCGGGGAUAAAGUGAGGGACGCGUCCCUUUCUGCAGGUACCGCAUGAAUAAGGACCGGCUAAUUCCGUGCCAGCAGCCGCGGUAAUACGGAAGGUCCGGGCGUUAUCCGGAUUUAUUGGGUUUAAAGGGAGCGUAGGCCGGGGAUUAAGUGUGUUGUGAAAUGUAGGCGCCCAACGUCUGACUUGCAGCGCAUACUGGUUCCCUUGAGUACGCGCAACGCCGGCGGAAUUCGUCGUGUAGCGGUGAAAUGCUUAGAUAUGACGAAGAACCCCGAUUGCGAAGGCAGCCGGCGGGAGCGCAACUGACGCUGAAGCUCGAAGGUGCGGGUAUCGAACAGGAUUAGAUACCCUGGUAGUCCGCACGGUAAACGAUGGAUGCCCGCUGUCGGCGCCUUGCGCCGGCGGCCAAGCGAAAGCGUUAAGCAUCCCACCUGGGGAGUACGCCGGCAACGGUG